RNAcentral lists this long non-coding RNA (471 nucleotides) under Androctonus crassicauda. Lineage: Eukaryota; Metazoa; Arthropoda; Arachnida; Scorpiones; Buthidae. The record is from RNAcentral.
CUAAAAUUGAUCACCAGGGGGAGUUUGUGCUUUGAUUGGAUAUUUGGUUUAACAGUUUAAUCCCCUUAGUAGUUGUUAGUAAAUAGUCAUAUUCUGCAUUCAGCACACCAUUUCCAAGCUGUUGGUAGCACUAUGGGCUGGUUGCUGUUAGUAGUGUCCUGUGUCUGUUUGCAUUUAUCGACCUCAAUAGCUUCUGUAGUAGCUGUUCCUCAGGUCCUGAAGUGGUUUAACCACUUUUGCCUCAUCCCAUCGCACAACAAUCCCUUGCAGCCAAAGCUUAUAAGAACAACAUUGUUGUGCGAUGGGAUGAAGCAAAAGUGGUUAAACCAACUGUAAAGAUUCCACUUGCUUGUGUUUACAUACUAUAACAAAUCAAGCUCUCAGCAAGUAUAAAUAUAUAUUGGCACUGAAGAGGGACAUAUGCUAGUCCGAAAACGUUAUGCCAAAUAAAACAAAAAAUUUUACUUGCCG